UGAGGAAUAUUGCGCAAUGGGGGAAACCCUGACGCAGCCAUGCCGCGUGAGUGAAGAAGGCCCUAGGGUUGUAAAACUCUUUCAGAUGCGAAGAUAAUGACGGUAACAUCAGAAGAAGCUCCGGCUAAAUUCGUGCCAGCAGCCGCGGUAAUACGAAUGGAGCGAGCGUUGUUCGGAAUCAUUGGGCGUAAAGCGUAUGUAGGCGGAUAUGAAAGUCAGAAGUGAAAUCCCGGGGCUUAACCCCGGAACUGCUUUUGAAACUCCAUAUCUAGAAUCCCGGAGGGGUGAGGGGAAUUCCGAGUGUAGAGGUGAAAUUCGCAGAUAUUCGGAGGAACACCAGAGGCGUAGGCGCCUCACUGGACGGGUAUUGACGCUGAGAUACGAAAGCGUGGGGAGCAAACAGG
This 404-nucleotide ribosomal RNA is filed under the name uncultured bacterium. RNAcentral describes it as "bacterial SSU rRNA". It matches the Rfam family "Bacterial small subunit ribosomal RNA", at positions 355 to 776 of the family's 1533-position model. The record is from RNAcentral.